This 510-nucleotide ribosomal RNA is filed under the name uncultured bacterium. RNAcentral's name for it is "partial 16S ribosomal RNA". It matches the Rfam family "Bacterial small subunit ribosomal RNA", at positions 28 to 507 of the family's 1533-position model. The record is from RNAcentral.
GACGAACGCUGGCGGCGUGCUUAACACAUGCAAGUCGAACGAAGAGCGAUGGAAGCUUGCUUCUAUCAAUCUUAGUGGCGAACGGGUGAGUAACGCGUAAUCAACCUGCCCUUCAGAGGGGGACAACAGUUGGAAACGACUGCUAAUACCGCAUACGAUCUAAUCUCGGCAUUGAGGAUAGAUGAAAGGUGGCCUCUACAUGUAAGCUAUCACUGAAGGAGGGGAUUGCGUCUGAUUAGCUAGUUGGAGGGGUAACGGCCCACCAAGGCGAUGAUCAGUAGCCGGUCUGAGAGGAUGAACGGCCACAUUGGGACUGAGACACGGCCCAGACUCCUACGGGAGGCAGCAGUGGGGAAUCUUCCGCAAUGGACGAAAGUCUGACGGAGCAACGCCGCGUGAGUGAUGACGGCCUUCGGGUUGUAAAGCUCUGUUAAUCGGGACGAAAGGCCUUCUUGCGAAUAGUGAGAAGGAUUGACGGUACCGGAAUAGAAAGCCACGGCUAACUACGUG